GUGUCAGCAGCCGCGGUAAUACGUAGGGUGCAAGCGUUAAUCGGAAUUACUGGGCGUAAAGCGUGCGCAGGCGGUUUUGUAAGUCUGACGUGAAAGCCCCGGGCUCAACCUGGGAAUUGCGUUGGAGACUGCAAGGCUUGAAUCUGGCAGAGGGGGGUAGAAUUCCACGUGUAGCAGUGAAAUGCGUAGAGAUGUGGAGGAACACCGAUGGCGAAGGCAGCCCCCUGGGUCAAGAUUGACGCUCAUGCACGAAAGCGUGGGGAGCAAACAGGAUUAGAUACCCUGGUAGUCCACGCCCUAAACGAUGUCUACUAGUUGUCGGGUUUUAAUUAACUUGGUAACGCAGCUAACGCGUGAAGUAGACCGCCUGGGGAGUACGGUCGCAAGAUUAAA
RNAcentral lists this ribosomal RNA (393 nucleotides) under uncultured bacterium. RNAcentral's name for it is "bacterial SSU rRNA". It matches the Rfam family "Bacterial small subunit ribosomal RNA", at positions 505 to 898 of the family's 1533-position model. The record is from RNAcentral.